RNAcentral lists this ribosomal RNA (1111 nucleotides) under uncultured Ascomycota. RNAcentral describes it as "eukaryotic LSU rRNA". The stretch from base 731 to 884 matches the Rfam family "5.8S ribosomal RNA". Lineage: Eukaryota; Fungi; Ascomycota. The record is from RNAcentral.
CUUGGUCAUUUAGAGGAAGUAAAAGUCGUAACAAGAUCGUUGUAGAUGAAUCUGCAGCGAAAUCAUUAUCGAGAGUGAGACGAGAUCGUCUCGUCUCGCGAAAGACUCACGUCUCUCGACUCUUCAUCUCGUGUUUAUCUUUUCGCGUUGCUUUGACGAACGUCGAGAUCUCGAGCUCUCGCAACGAGACGUCGAGUCAAGUCGAGAAAGUGAGAGAUCGAGAAUCGAAUCGUCAGACUCUAAUGACGUCGACUCGAAUGACGAGAAGAUGAAGAGACGCGUCGAGCUCGUCUGCUGCAGCAGAGAACGCCGAAUCGAAUCGCGAGAGAGAAUCAGUCGAGUCGUCGUCCUACGUGACGACGAUCUCGAGCGAGAUUCCGCGUUUCUUUCUUGAAUUCACUUCUCGCGUGACGCUCUCGACUCGAAAAGAAACACGAAGCCUCGCGUCUGAUUCUUUCGAGACAUCACGAGCUCGACUCCCGACGAGGAAGAUUCAGGCGACAAGAAGCGCGUCUGACCCCUCGAGAGAAUCUCAGAGAGAAUGUUUGACAUUCGCGACAGACUGACGAUUGAAACGACUCUCGCGAGAGUUCUCGCGCCUCAGCUUCGCGAAACGUCGAUAUCGAGCUUCUCGAGAGCGACUUGCAUCGAGUCUCGACCUCGCGUUCGUCGAAGGCUCACUCAAACUCGUCGUAAUUGUGUCGUCCGAGCAAACGAUCGAAUCGUAUAAAACUUUUCACAACGAAUCUCUUGAUUUCGACAUCGAUGAAAAACGCAGCGAAAUGCGAUAAGUAAUGUGAAUUGCAGAAUUCAGUGAAUCAUCGAAUCUUUGAACGCACAUUGCGCCCCCUGACACUUCGAGGGACAUGUCUGUUCGAGCGUCAUUGCAUCUCUCGAGUUUCGACGACUCGAUGUUGAACGCCGCCUCCCUCGCGUCGAGAAGGGCGCGCUCGCAACACAGUGACGAUUCGAGAGCGACUUCACGCGCGAUAGACAAUCAUCGCGAGGAGACUUCGCCUCGAACACUCGUCAGACAAUCUCACGUUUUCACGAUUGAUCUCGAAUCAGGUAGAAAUACUCGCUGAACUUAGGCAUAUCAAUAAGCGGAGGA